Molecule: ribosomal RNA, 301 nt
Filed under: uncultured bacterium
Lineage: Bacteria
Description: partial 16S ribosomal RNA
Rfam family: Bacterial small subunit ribosomal RNA
Source: RNAcentral
CAGUCGCCGCGGGAAUACAGAGGGUGCGAGCGUUAAUCGGAUUUACUGGGCGUAAAGCGUGCGUAGGCGGCUUUUUAAGUCGGAUGUGAAAUCCCCGAGCUUAACUUAGGAAUUGCAUUCGAUACUGGGAAGCUAGAGUAUGGGAGAGGAUGGUAGAAUUCCAGGUGUAGCGGUGAAAUGCGUAGAGAUCUGGAGGAAUACCGAUGGCGAAGGCAGCCAUCUGGCCUAAUACUGACGCUGAGGUACGAAAGCAUGGGGAGCAAACAGGAUUAGAUACCCCCGUAGUCCCUGUCUCUUAUAA